Non-coding RNA from Camellia sinensis, 277 nucleotides. The record is from RefSeq and is a predicted model, not a curated record. NCBI's taxonomy places the organism in Eukaryota, Viridiplantae, Streptophyta, Magnoliopsida, Ericales, Theaceae.
AUCUCUAAGUUCUGAAAGAGGCUUGCUAUUGGAGGUAGUCAACGAAGAGUCACGAGUGAAGCUUCAGCAUCGGAUCGGAGGUCGUUCGAAGUACCAUUGUCGCACUGCAGCACCAUCGUCGGAGGUAUUUGGGGACAAACAUGGCAACAUCUUACAUUUAUACGAAAGAGACUGCAGUGUGCAGAGAAGACAUCAGAAAAUAAUUGAAGAAGCUCCAGCUCCAAAUGUCCUGAAUGACUUUCGUUCUCAUGUGGGUCAUGCUGCUGUAUGUGCGACC